CAGUGUUUUGUUUUGUUGCUGAGGCAAUUGGGGUUAAGUGACUUGCCUAGAGUCACACAGCUAGGAAGUGUUAAGCGUCUGAGACCAGAUUUGAACGCAGGUCUUUUUGACUUAAGGGCUGGUGCUCUCUAUCCACUGCACCACCUAUCUCCCCUGAGCAUAGUGUUUUCUUGGGAGAACAUACCAGCAAAUAAGGUGAUCGUCAUAAUAUAAUAAUAAUAUUUAUAAUAAUAACAAGAACAGGGCUUCUUAAAUUUUUUCCACUCAAGACUUUUUUUGCCUGAAGAAUUUUUAUGUGACCCCUGGUAUGUAGGGAUAUACUACACAUCAAACAUUUAAAUCAUAAUUUCACAACCCCGGCAUUAGUUAAGAGAUCUUGAGCCACAGUUUAAGAAUCUGACUUAUAGGGGGUAGUACUUGAGCUGAGCAUUGUCAUUCCAUCAGCAAACAUUUAAAGCCUGCUGUGUACUAGGCAUUAUGCCAAGUAAAUUCUAGGGAUACAAAAAAGCUAGCAGCAGAAUGCUAGGGAUUCUAAAAGUAAAUUGUGGAAGGAGUGAACUUGGGGGUGGACAGCUUGUCCAAAAAUACAUGUUGGGGAAAUGAGAUGUCAUAUAAAGGAAACCUUACCCAAGUCAAUUUGGCUAGAAUGUAGAAUUUGAGAGUACAAAGGUUAAAUAGUUUGUAAACCAAUUGUGAAGAGUUUUAAAAGCCAAGGAAGAAUUUUCUUUAAUCCAAGGGGCAGGAAGAUACUACUGGCACUUUUUCAGCGAGAAGAUGACAUAGUCAGACCUAUGUUUUAGUAAUAUCAAUUUGGCAACUGUAUAGUAGAUAAUUUAGAAAGGAGAGAGGCUAGAGGCAGGCAUUUAGGAAGCUAUAGUCCAAAUUAGAAAUAACUUGAAUUGGAAUGAUGUCUAUAUUAGUAGAAAGAAGAGGAAAGAUGCAAGAUAUAUUUUGAAGGUAGAAUUGACAAUAUGAGGGAAAAUGGAGGGUUGCAGAUAAACUACUAGGUAUGUAUACUUGAAUAACUAGAAGAAUGGUGCCUUCAACAAAAAAAGGAUGGACAACUAUGAUUACAUAAAAUUUUAUUUAAAAGUUUUGCACUAACAAAAUCAAUGCCACUGAAAUUGAAUGGGAAAUGAGGGAAAAGAUUGUUGCAACAAGUUUUUCUGAUGCAGAUUUCAUUUCUAAGGUAUAUUGAAAAUCAAUUCACAUUUACAAAAAUAAAAGCCAUUUCCCAAUUGAUAAAUUGUCAAAGGUCAAAAUGGUCAAAAACUACCUAUAUGAAUAAGCAGAGAAAAAUCCAAGCUAUCAAUAGCCAUAUGAAAAAAUGUUUGAAACCACUAGUAAUUAGAAAACUACAACUUAAAAUAACAUUGACAUACUGUUUCAUACAUAUCAGAAUGGCAAGAUGAACAAAAAAAAGUGAAAAAUAAUGGAAGACUAUGGGAAAACAUAUGUUAAUGCCCUGUUGAUGGCAUAAGAACUGGUCUGACUAUUCUGGAAAGCAAUUUAGACACAAUGCCCAAAAAGUUAUUAAAGUAUAUAUACUCUAGGUAAAGCAGUAGAUAGACACUCACCUUCAAAUCAGACAUCAGACACUAAAUAAGUAACUCUGGACAAGUCACUCAACCCUAUUUGCCUCAGUUUCCUUAUCUGUAAAAUGAGCUGCAGAAGAAAACAGCAAACCCAUUCUAGUAUCUGUGCCAAGAAAAUCCCAAGUGAGGUCAUAGAGUCAGACAAGUGAAACAACUGAAUAAUGAUACCCCUUUAACUUAAUUUUUCUGCUUAGUAGAUCUAUACUCCCAUAGAAAUCAGAGAAAAAGGAAAAGACCCAUAUGUACAAAAAUAAAGCAGUUCCUUUUUGUGGUAGCAAAGAAUUGGAAAUUGAUAAGGAGGACAGGAAUGAGAACCUUUCAAAAGAGAAACAAUUAAAUGUUGGUAUAUUUUUGUGAUAGGGUACUUGUAGUGAAAUGAAAUGGGGAUAUGAAAUGAAGGGGAUAGUUUUAGAAAAAUCUGGGAAGACUUGUUUGAACUGAUACACAGCAAUUUGAAUAUAACAAUGGGAACAAUUUAUGUAAUAAUCAUAUUGUAAAUAUGCACAACUUUGAAAGACUUGAGAAUUCUGAUCAAUGCAAAGGAACUAAUCACAGUCCCAAAGAAUUCGUUAUGAAACAUGCUAAACCUUUCCGAGAGAGAAUUGGUGGAUUUUGAGUGCAUAUUGUAUUGUUUUAUUAAUGUUAACUACUGUAGGGCAAUAGUUAAUGUGGGAAUUUGUUUUGUUUAAUAUACGUCUUUGUAAGUGGAUUUGUUUUUGUUUUUGUUUUCCUCAGUGGAAUAAGGGAAGGAAAGUCAGGGGAUUGAGAGAAUUUGGAAUUGAAAAUAAAUUUGGAUUAAAAAACAAUAGGAACUUUAGGAAGAGAGGCAAAAGCCAGAAGACUACAUAGAACCAUUAGAGAAAGAGAACUGUUUGGAAAAGUAAAGACUCGGACUCAGAGUCGCAAUGGCCUGAUGCAGGAAUACUCCUAGCAAGACACAGCCAACAAAGCAGAUCUUUCUUCUGCAGAAGACUGAAUCUGAAAAAGCCAUCAUGCUGGAUAUAAUUGAAAAGAAAAGCAAGUCAAAGAGCAUGACUUAAGUUUCUGCUACAAACCAGGCAAACACUAAAUUGUUCUGACAGAAGCUACCCUCUGCAAUGUCACCUGCAGGAAAUAGGGCUGGAAACAUAUCCCCAAAGAUCCCUAGAAUAGUAAGCCUGAAGUCAUCACCAUUUGCUUAUGAGCCCCUUCUACCUGGACUGGGGAUUUCUUUUCUUUUUUAAUUAAUUGUUUUAUUUUGUCUGGCCAUAUGUGUAUAUUAACUUUUUUAAAUACACAUUUCUUCAUGUAUCAUGUUGGGAGAGAAAAAUCAGAACAAAAGGGAAAAACCAUGGAAAAGAAGGAAAAAAAAAACAGAAAAAAGAAGUGAAUAUAGUGAAAUUACAUUCGGUUAACAAUGGUUUUCACUUGUUUAAAAGAAACUUUUCUUCUGUUAUCUUCAUUCCUGAGGAAAAUGUAGUCAUUCUACUAAAGGCACCUUCACCAAGUAACAAAAGACAUACCAGG
This 3101-nucleotide long non-coding RNA is filed under the name Sarcophilus harrisii (Tasmanian devil). RNAcentral describes it as "lncRNA (ENSSHAG00000028545.1)". Lineage: Eukaryota; Metazoa; Chordata; Mammalia; Dasyuromorphia; Dasyuridae. The record is from RNAcentral.